GUGGGGAAUCUUGCGCAAUGGGCGAAAGCCUGACGCAGCGACGCCGCGUGAGUGAUGAAGGCCUUCGGGUUGUAAAGCUCUGUGGAGGGGGACGAAUAAGGGUUGGUGAAUAUCCAGCUCGAUGACGGUACCCCUUUAGCAAGCACCGGCUAACUCUGUGCCAGCAGCCGCGGUAAGACAGAGGGUGCAAACGUUGUUCGGAAUUACUGGGCGUAAAGCGCGUGUAGGCUGCUUGGAAAGUCGGAUGUGAAAGCCCUGGGCUCAACCUAGGAAGUGCAUUCGAAACUUCCAAGCUGGAGUGCUGGAGAGGAAGGCGGAAUUCUCGGUGUAGAGGUGAAAUUCGUAGAUAUCGAGAGGAACACCGGUGGCGAAGGCGGCCUUCUGGACAGUAACUGACGCUGAGACGCGAAAGCGUGGGGAGCAAACAGGAUUAGAAACCCGGGUAGUCC
RNAcentral lists this ribosomal RNA (449 nucleotides) under uncultured bacterium. RNAcentral describes it as "bacterial SSU rRNA". It matches the Rfam family "Bacterial small subunit ribosomal RNA", at positions 354 to 796 of the family's 1533-position model. The record is from RNAcentral.